Molecule: transfer RNA, 86 nt
Filed under: marine sediment metagenome
Rfam family: tRNA
About the family: Transfer RNA (tRNA) molecules are approximately 80 nucleotides in length. Their secondary structure includes four short double-helical elements and three loops (D, anti-codon, and T loops).
Source: RNAcentral
GCCGGAGUGGCGGAACUGGUAGACGCACGGGACUUAAAAUCCCGGGAACAUAAUCGUUCGUGUCGGUUCGAUUCCGACCUCCGGCA